CUUUGCUGACGAGUGGCGGACGGGUGAGUAAUGUCUGGUAAACUGCCUGAUGCAGGGGGAGACGCACUGAACACGGUGCCUUAGCCUACUAGAGGUCGCAUCUCUUUGUAUGGGGCCUUGGAGCCCGCGUGCAUCCCUACUCCCCAGAUGGGAUAAGAUAUUACGUGGCCCCACCCUCCCCUAGGCGACGAUCCCUAGCUGGUCUGAGAGGACGACCGCCACACUGGAACUGAGACACGGUCGAUACUCCUACUGGAGGCAGUAAUGGGGAUAUUGCACAAUGGGCGCAAGCCUGAUGCAGCCAUGCCGCGUGUAUGAUGACGGACUUCGGGUUGUAAAGUACUUUCAGCGGGCAGGAUGGUGUUGAUGGUUAUGGUCUUACCAGUUGAAUCUACUUAAACAACAUGCUCCGCCUCUCGUGGGGGCCCCCCCGUCAAUUCAUUUGGAGUGGUGCCCUUGCUAAUCGCGCACUACUGGGGCGUAAAACGCACGCAGGCGGUCUGUCAAGUCGGAUGUGAAAUCCCCGGGCUCAACCUGGGAACUGCAUUCGAAACUGGCAGGCUAGAGUCUUGUAGAGGGGGGUAGAAUUCCAGGUGUAGCGGUGAAAUGCGUAGAGAUCUGGAGGAAUACCGGUGGCGAAGGCGGCCCCCUGGACAAAGACUGACGCUCAGGUGCGAAAGCGUGGGGAGCAAACAGGAUUAGAUACCCUGGUAGUCCACGCCGUAAACGAUGUCGACUUGGAGGUUGUGCCCUUGAGGCGUGGCUUCCGGAGCUAACGCGUUAAGUCGACCCCCUGGGGAGUACGGCCGCAAGGUUAAAACUCAAAUGAAUUGACGGGGGCCCGCACAAGCGGUGGAGCAUGUGGUUUAAUUCGAUGCAACGCGAAGAACCUUACCUACUCUUGACAUCCAGAGAACUUAACAGAGAUGCUUUGGUGCCUUCGGGAACUUUGAGACAGGUGCUGCAUGGCUGUCGUCAGCUCGUGUUGUGAAAUGUUGGGUUAAGUCCCGCAACGAGCGCAACCCUUAUCCUUUGUUGCCAGCGGUCCGGCCGGGAACUCAAAGGAGACUGCCAGUGAUAAACUGGAGGAAGGUGGGGAUGACGUCAAGUCAUCAUGCCCCUUACGAGUAGGGCUACACACGUGCUACAAUGGCGCAUACAAAGAGAAGCGACCUCGCGAGAGCAAGCGGACCUCAUAAAGUGCGUCGUAGUCCGGAUUGGAGUCUGCAACUCG
RNAcentral lists this ribosomal RNA (1234 nucleotides) under Citrobacter freundii. RNAcentral's name for it is "bacterial SSU rRNA". It matches the Rfam family "Bacterial small subunit ribosomal RNA", at positions 83 to 1314 of the family's 1533-position model. The record is from RNAcentral. Lineage: Bacteria; Pseudomonadati; Pseudomonadota; Gammaproteobacteria; Enterobacterales; Enterobacteriaceae.